GAUGAACGCUGGCGGCGUGCCUAAUACAUGCAAGUCGAGCGAACGGACGAGAAGCUUGCUUCUCUGAUGUUAGCGGCGGACGGGUGAGUAACACGUGGAUAACCUACCUAUAAUACUGGGAUAACUUCGGGAAACCGGAGCUAAUACCGUAUAAUAUUUUGAACCGCAUUGUUCAAAAGUGAAAGACGGUCUUUCUGUCACUUAUAGAUGGAUCCGCGCUUCAUUAGCUAGUUGGUAAGUUAACGGCUUACCAAGGCAACGAGGCAUAGCCGACCUGAGAGGGUGAUCGGCCACCACGGAACUGAGCCACGGACAAGACGACUACGGGAGGCAGCAGUAGGGAAUCUUACGCAAAGGGCGAAAGUAUGACGGAGAAACGCCGCGUGAGUGAUGAAGGUCUUCGGAUCGUAAAACUCUGUUAUUAGGGAAGAACAUAUGUGUAAGUAACUGUGCACAUCUUGACGGUACCUAAUCAGAAAGCAACGGCUAACUACGUG
RNAcentral lists this ribosomal RNA (497 nucleotides) under uncultured bacterium. RNAcentral describes it as "partial 16S ribosomal RNA". It matches the Rfam family "Bacterial small subunit ribosomal RNA", at positions 28 to 507 of the family's 1533-position model. The record is from RNAcentral.